This 496-nucleotide ribosomal RNA is filed under the name uncultured bacterium. RNAcentral describes it as "partial 16S ribosomal RNA". It matches the Rfam family "Bacterial small subunit ribosomal RNA", at positions 28 to 507 of the family's 1533-position model. The record is from RNAcentral.
GAUGAACGCUGGCGGCGUGCCUAAUACAUGCAAGUCGAGCGAACAGACGAGGAGCUUGCUCCUUUGACGUUAGCGGCGGACGGGUGAGUAACACGUGGGUAACCUACCUAUAAGACUGGGAUAACUUCGGGAAACCGGAGCUAAUACCGGAUAAUAUUUCGAACCGCAUGGUUCGAUAGUGAAAGAUGGCUUUGCUAUCACUUAUAGAUGGACCUGCGCCGUAUUAGCUAGUUGGUAAGGUAACGGCUUACCAAGGCAACGAUACGUAGCCGACCUGAGAGGGUGAUCGGCCACACUGGAACUGAGACACGGUCCAGACUCCUACGGGAGGCAGCAGUAGGGAAUCUACCGAAUGGGCGAAAGCCUGACGGAGCAACGCCGCGUGAGUGAUGAAGGUCUUCGGAUCGUAAAACUCUGUUAUUAGGGAAGAACAAACGUGUAAGUAACUGUGCACGUCUUGACGGUACCUAAUCAGAAAGCCACGGCUAACUACGUG